This 666-nucleotide long non-coding RNA is filed under the name Lonchura striata (white-rumped munia). RNAcentral's name for it is "domestica (Bengalese finch) lncRNA (ENSLSDG00000004041.1)". Lineage: Eukaryota; Metazoa; Chordata; Aves; Passeriformes; Estrildidae. The record is from RNAcentral.
UCCCAGGUGUAUCCCAGGUGUGCCCAGGUGUAUCCCAGGUGUAUCCCAGGUGUAUCCCAGGUGUGCCCAGGUGUAUCCCAGGUGCGCCCAGGUGUAUCCCAGACAUACCCAGGUGUGCCCAGGUGUAUCACAGACAUACCCAGGUAUGCCCAGGUGUAUCACAGACAUACCCAGGUGUAUCCCAGGUGUGCCCAGGUGUAUCACAGACAUACCCAGGUGUGCCCAAGUGUAUCCCAGGUGUGCCCAGGCGUGCCCAGGUGUAUCACAGACAUACCCAGGUGUAUCCCAGGUGCGCCCAGGUGCGCCCAGGCGCCCCUAGCAGGGCGAGGUGGACAGGUGGGGGUGCGGGGCGGGUCUCUGGGGGUACUUGAUGGCGGGCGGGUAGUUCUGGGUCAUCUGGAUGGAGACGUCGGACGAGGCGUCGGAGGCGCUGCGGGCGCGCGGCCACGCCCGCGGCUGCAGGAACUGCGCCGACAGCCCCGAGCAGGUGCUGAGGCGCGGGCGCAGCAGCUGCGGCGGCGCCCGGCACAGCUCCUCCUCGGCGUAGCGCUUGGUGAACAGGUACACCGACAUCACACCUGCGCCCUGAAACAGAGAGAGAGACGGGUGAGUGACACGCCUGUCACACCUGAGUGACACCUGUGACACACCUGAGUGACAGCUGUG